UCGGUCCUCCGUGAAGACAUAGGGAAAAUGGCGCCAAGAUGUGCAGAGAAGGCACCAGCAGGAGAAUGAGUUGGAGAACAUACAAGACUAUUUUGUAUUCACUUUGAAGGAACCAAACAGAUGAUCAGUGGGAGAUAAAGGUCCUGCAGAGUAAGGGGAAGUAUGAUAUCUGCUGCUGUUCUUCCUUUGAGCAAAUAGUACUCCCUCCCACCUCUUUGUACACAGCAACACCCAUGUAGAUGGAUCGCUACCAUGAAAAAUAAUAUUUUCUUAUAUAAAUAAAUGCAGCCACUACUUA
Molecule: long non-coding RNA, 298 nt
Organism: Xenopus tropicalis (tropical clawed frog)
Lineage: Eukaryota; Metazoa; Chordata; Amphibia; Anura; Pipidae
Exons: 2
Source: RefSeq, a predicted model, not a curated record